Molecule: unclassified non-coding RNA, 305 nt
Filed under: Hevea brasiliensis (rubber tree)
Lineage: Eukaryota; Viridiplantae; Streptophyta; Magnoliopsida; Malpighiales; Euphorbiaceae
Source: RNAcentral
UGUAUGCGUAAUUGUUGUCCAAUCCUCUAGCCAGAAGAUAUAUGUUGUGUACUUUAUAAGAUACACAUCACCUAAUAGUUUGUCAAUCAUGUAAUAGCUAACUAAACCAAUAUAUAAGAUCGCUGCACCAGUCAUCGCUCUUUACCAAGGCCAUUCCAUGUCGUCUUCUAGUUCUGCCAAGGCAGCCUCCUCAGCAUAUUUCUCAUGAUAGAUAUCAAUGUCACUAUCAUCUUGUGUUCCAGCAUCUAUAGGACUCUGCCCAAAAUCAUCGAAUAACUUUUGGUACAAAAUAAACCUCAUUGUUG